AUCCUUGAUAUGAUGUCAUUGAGAGCAAAUUCAUCAGCAUCACGAGCAGCUCGUAAAAGUGUUUGGCUCAUUGUUUCUCCAGAAGCGGAUUUAAAUGAUCUCUUCUUGGGAUUAGUACUGCUGAUGUCUUCAAGUAAAACUUGUAUCAGAACUAAAAGACACUUUUUUUCUUGCUUCACACCAAUCAAUUGAUGAAGUUUUAGUGUUUGGUUUCACUACACUUUCUGAAUUCAACGUAUGACGACUUGAAGAUUUUUUAAAAUUAAUCACUGGACGAUUAGGACGUGAAUUGGAUGAAUUACUCUUCUUCUUGGUGGACCAGUUCCUAAUCCUGUAACAGUAGUAUUAAAUAUAGAUCAAUCACUAGAUGCAUAAAGUUGAACAAUUUUUCGAACAGCUUUCUCGUAACGCAAAAAAGCCGGGUGAUAAAUUUCCUUUGGAAGCAACAACGUAGUUUGGAAGAUCACAAACUGAUGAAGAGCUUUUCGAGUUUCUUUCUCGACUUCUUGACUUGGAUUUAUGUUCAGUAAGGAUCCGAUGGACUUUCUGGUGGUUGAAAAUAAUGUAUGUUAGAUGACAGUGAUCAAAUACGAGUGAGAAGCUGAUGAUGUUGACAAAUAGAUUGCUGAUUCGACAAGCACUCGCGAACUCGAACGAUGAGCGAAUAAGCGGGCGAAUUAUGUGAUGAAGAAUAAGAAUAUAAAGAAAUAGAUAGAAAGAGAAGUACUUACUUGAUGAGUGGUGGGCUCGUAGAAGGUGGGGAGCUUUUGCUGUUGACCACUCGUACUUGUUACGCCGAUGAUGCUCUCGCGGUGUGUUGAGACGUCAGAUAAAUUCCAUCGUCGUCCGGUCGUCGUACUCGUCUCCAUCAAACGCUGAAAUGAUGAUUGUUCAGGGUCAGAGUACGACAUUCUUGAGAUCUUUUCAAUACACAUGAUAUAUCACGUUUUAUUCUUUGAAGAUAAUGGAAUGACUUUUGAAUGAGAAUUACAACUGAAGAAAAGAUCUAUUGCGCACGCGUAUUUUAAUGUAGAUGGCGUCAUUUGCAAACUUAACUUCCAAAUUAACGGUUUUUUUUAUUGUUAGAAGAAAACAAUCGAGAAACUGUGAUAAGUUGUCAAGUUGGAAUUGGAUCAAAUUUGUAGAAGCUUAAGACAUGCGGAAACAUUAGUUGAUUGGCUUUCGUGCUAGCUACUGAAGACGUUGAUUGAACUGAGGGUUGAAGAGCAGAGAAGAAGAGGCUUCACUUUCCUCACCAUCUGUUCCAAAACAAUUACACUGUUGACAAAUAAAGAUAAAAAUAUGAUCGAUUACUCCAGUGCUCCUUUGAAUUUUUCCGUACAAUACGAGUUUACAAUAGUUGAUCUUCUAGGGAUUAAGAGUUACAAGGACUUGAAAAAAUGAAUUUUUUCUUCAAGAGUUGAUGUUGAAAUGUAAAUACAUUUGUUAUAUGGGCUUGACUACUCUCCAGAGACAAGAGGGUGGAUCCUAACAUAUGAAGUGAAAGAGAAUCCACGCUUGGUCACAUUCAAAACAACCUUUCGUGCUCAAGGUAAACAUUAUUCUCUCCAUGAUUUAUACCAAGUUCCUCAAUGUCCAUUUACUUGGUCAGGAACUUGAGCUACGACUUGACCGUACUAAUGACUAGAUUUAUCGCUGCGCUCUUCAUGUCAUCGAAGAUGUAUAGAUGCUCUUUAAUCGAGCGACAACUGCUGCACAUAGAGGGAAGCUCAUCGUCAUAUUUUGAAGUUUAUAAAUAAAUCUAUCAGCUUAAAACGAAAAUUGACGUAUACUUGUUAAUAUUCAUCGUCAAGAUAUUUAUCAGAAACUAUCAUGAUGUAUUUACCUGAUAAGUAGAUGACUUGGAUUCUUCUGCAUUGGUAUCCCCGAUUCGCCGAUUCAAUACCAUCGUGAUAUGUUCUUGAUGCUCACCUUUAUGUAUUCUACUGUCUACUGGAAAGUUUGA
Molecule: long non-coding RNA, 1966 nt
Organism: Chelonus insularis
Lineage: Eukaryota; Metazoa; Arthropoda; Insecta; Hymenoptera; Braconidae
Exons: 8
Source: RefSeq, a predicted model, not a curated record